This 506-nucleotide ribosomal RNA is filed under the name uncultured Lachnospiraceae bacterium. RNAcentral's name for it is "partial 16S ribosomal RNA". Lineage: Bacteria; Bacillati; Bacillota; Clostridia; Lachnospirales; Lachnospiraceae. The record is from RNAcentral.
CACGUAUUUAGCCGGGGCUUCUUAGUCAGGUACCGUCAUUUUCUUCCCUGCUGAUAGGGCUUUACAUACCGAAGUACUCCAUCGCCCACGCGGCGUCGCUGCAUCAGGGUUCCCCCCAUUGUGCAAUAUCCCCCACUGCUGCCUCCCGAGGUUUAGCUGGGCCGUGUCUCAGUCCCAAUGUGGCCGUCCACCCUCUCAGGCCGGCUACUGAUCGUCGCCUUGGGUGGGCCCGUUACCCCGCCAACAAGCUAAUCAGACGCGAGCCCAUCCUGCACCAUAUUACUUUCCACACCGCCCCAUGCGGGGCUGUGCGCCUAUGCGGUAUUAGCAGCCGUUUCCAGCUGUUGUCCCCCAGUGCAGGGCAGGUUGCUCACGCGUUACUCACCCGUCCGCCACUAGGCAGCGCCAAUUCCGCUCCGAAAAGUUUCCAUCGGCGCGCCCCGUUCGACUUGCAUGUGUUAGCACGCCGCAGCGUUCAUCCUGACGCCAGGACUACGAAACUUCCG